CCUUCCUCCUGCCAGGCUGGGCCUAAUUCUUUCUUAUUAGUCAGGCACUCUAAUUUGUGGUCUGACCACCUCCACUGUAACCGGCAGGGAGCCGCCCUCCUUCCCAAGUACUACCUGAGCCGACCUGCACUGAUAGGCUUUGUCCACUCUAGAACAACGUCUGGACACAACGGGAUAAGGAGUUCCAGAGACAACGUCAGGCCCAUCUUCACUGCUGGAUCCUUCACAUUCUUUGGGAUUCUGCAACUACGAUAUGCUAGCUACAUGUGUGCUGAACUGCAGGGCAUUACUCCUCAGGCGAGAGAAUCUUAAGAGUCCACGGCGUUGGACGUCAGUACCAAUCUCUGUCAAACGGGGUUCAUUGCAGUACCAGACCUAACCCCUAGAGGCUCACGCAAAACUCCUGCCUGGGAGUCACGACCUAUCGCGGGAUGGGGCGCGACCUCUAGCGGGAUGAAACCUGGCUUCUCCAAGGGUAGGGCGGGGCCUCUCGCGGGGUAGGGCGGGGCCUCACGCGGGAUGGGCGGGGCAUCUUGCAGGGCGAGGCCUGUUCUCAUAGAGCUGGUUCCCGCCGCUCAGCGGCAACGGCGUCCUGAAGAAAACGCUGGGCGGGCGCCAGUCUCGAGGAACGCAGCCCUCGGAGGCGCCGGCGCGGGCCCGCAGGUCCUGCUCAGAAGCUGGCCUUCCCAAGAUGCCUUCCCAGGCAGCUUCCUAAAGCACACCUUGGUCACUGCAGGUCCCCCUCCCCUCAGCACUGCUUGCAAAUGUAGGCCAGUAGGCCAGGACAUUGCUGAGAAGAUGACUCCUUACGGUUCCCACAGGAGGGAUGUGCGACCUCGUGAGCUUCCCAUUAGACCGCUGCAUGUUAAAGCGCACAAAGAGUCCAAAAGUCGUUCCAGAGUUGGCCUGAAGUCGAGUUCCAAGCAAAAGACCACCAUUUUCAGCACACUGGGCAGUGAGAAGUCCUUAUCUGACUGCAAAAAGCUGCCACUGGGCCUGCCACUCACGUGAUGGGAAGGAGGCUCAAAGAGGCCCAGCAGAAGCUGCUGAGUGGACCUGCAGAGACAGAGGACCCAGAGGAUGAAUUCCUGGGCAGAAACAUCCUGGGGCGUAGGUGAGGAGCUGUCCACAU
Molecule: long non-coding RNA, 1132 nt
Filed under: Chinchilla lanigera (long-tailed chinchilla)
Lineage: Eukaryota; Metazoa; Chordata; Mammalia; Rodentia; Chinchillidae
Description: lncRNA (ENSCLAG00000025448.1)
Source: RNAcentral